Molecule: long non-coding RNA, 434 nt
Filed under: Homo sapiens (human)
Lineage: Eukaryota; Metazoa; Chordata; Mammalia; Primates; Hominidae
Description: non-protein coding lnc-BATF3-6:4
Source: RNAcentral
GCGCGCACGUGAGCGCGCGCUGCGCGGGUUGCUAAUUUUAGCUCCGGCGGCUUCCCUGGGGUCCCGUGAGGUGAAGGGGAGUGGAGGGGACGAGGCGGGCAAGGAGCGUGGCUCUCCUCGUUCCUUCCUGCCCCGCCGUGGGUUUUCCUCGAGGACCGGGCCCGGCCCGAGGGGUGGGGGCCCGCGGGCGACUCGAGGUGCUGGAACGCGGGCGCUUACCGAGGCGAGAACCUAGGGGGUCUCCCCGCGUGGAAACCCCGCCCCUCCCUCGGCCUUGGACACAGUCGGCGCUCAAUAAAUGAAUCGAAGUUUCUUCCUGGACGGCGACCCUGGGCUUUCGGGAGAAAGCCAGAGGGGCAGGGUUCUGGAAGGUUCCCUGGCGGCUGGGGUGCGGUGCGGGCUGAAAUCCGAGCAGGAGCUGGGCGCGGCCCUCG